UCGUCCCGGUUCAAGCAGGUAGGCAGAGUGAUUAGGCAAAUCCGGUCACUUAAUGCUGAGAUGUGAUGACGAACCACCAAGGUGGUGAAGCAAUUGAUGCCCCGCUUCCAGGAAAAGCCUCUAAGCUUCAGGUUACCAACAAUCGUACCCCAAACCGACACAGGUGGUCAGGUAGAGAAUACUCAGGCGCUUGAGAGAACUCGGGUGAAGGAACUAGGCAAAAUGGUGCCGUAACUUCGGGAGAAGGCACGCUGGCGGUAGGUAAAGUCCCUCGCGGACGGCGCUGAAGCCAGUCGAAGAUACCAGCUGGCUGCAACUGUUUAUUAAAAACACAGCACUGUGCAAACACGAAAGUGGACGUAUACGGUGUGACGCCUGCCCGGUGCUGGAAGGUUAAUUGAUGGGGUCAGCCGUAAGGCGAAGCUCCUGAUCGAAGCCCCAGUAAACGGCGGCCGUAACUAUAACGGUCCUAAGGUAGCGAAAUUCCUUGU
RNAcentral lists this ribosomal RNA (491 nucleotides) under Proteus mirabilis. RNAcentral describes it as "partial 23S ribosomal RNA". It matches the Rfam family "Bacterial large subunit ribosomal RNA", at positions 1502 to 1972 of the family's 2925-position model. The record is from RNAcentral. Lineage: Bacteria; Pseudomonadati; Pseudomonadota; Gammaproteobacteria; Enterobacterales; Morganellaceae.